GACGAACGCUGGCGGCGUGCCUAAUACAUGCAAGUCGAGCGGACCAAAGGGAGCUUGCUCCUGGAGGUCAGCGGCGAACGGGUGAGUAACACGUGGGCAACCUGCCUGUAAGACUGGGAUAACAUCGAGAAAUCGGUGCUAAUACCGGAUAAUAAAAAGAACUGCAUGGUUCUUUUUUGAAAGAUGGUUUCGGCUAUCACUUACAGAUGGGCCCGCGGCGCAUUAGCUAGUUGGUGAGGUAACGGCUCACCAAGGCAACGAUGCGUAGCCGACCUGAGAGGGUGAUCGGCCACACUGGGACUGAGACACGGCCCAGACUCCUACGGGAGGCAGCAGUAGGGAAUCUUCCGCAAUGGACGAAAGUCUGACGGAGCAACGCCGCGUGAGUGAUGAAGGUUUUCGGAUCGUAAAACUCUGUUGUUAGGGAAGAACAAGUGCCGUUCGAAAGGGCGGCACCUUGACGGUACCUAACGAGAAAGCCACGGCUAACUACGUGCCAGCAGCCGCGGUAC
Molecule: ribosomal RNA, 512 nt
Filed under: uncultured bacterium
Lineage: Bacteria
Description: bacterial SSU rRNA
Rfam family: Bacterial small subunit ribosomal RNA
Source: RNAcentral